AUCAGCUUGCUGAUUUGCUGACGAGUGGCGGUACGGGUGAGUAAUGUCUGGGAAACUGCCUGAUGGAGGGGGAUAACUACUGGAAACGGUAGCUAAUACCGCAUAACGUCGCAAGACCAAAGAGGGGGACCUUCGGGCCUCUUGCCAUCGGAUGUGCCCAGAUGGGAUUAGCUAGUAGGUGGGGUAACGGCUCACCUAGGCGACGAUCCCUAGCUGGUCUGAGAGGAUGACCAGCCACACUGGAACUGAGACACGGUCCAGACUCCUACGGGAGGCAGCAGUGGGGAAUAUUGCACAAUGGGCGCAAGCCUGAUGCAGCCAUGCCGCGUGUAUGAAGAAGGCCUUCGGGUUGUAAAGUACUUUCAGCGGGGAGGAAGGGAGUAAAGUUAAUACCUUUGCUCAUUGACGUUACCCGCAGAAGAAGCACCGGCUAACUCCGUGCCAGCAGCCGCGGUAAUACGGAGGGUGCAAGCGUUAAUCGGAAUUACUGGGCGUAGAGCGCACGCAGGCGGUUUGUUAAGUCAGAUGUGAAAUCCCCGGGCUCAACCUGGGAACUGCAUCUGAUACUGGCAAGCUUGAGUCUCGUAGAGGGGGGUAGAAUUCCAGGUGUAGCGGUGAAAUGCGUAGAGAUCUGGAGGAAUACCGGUGGCGAAGGCGGCCCCCUGGACGAAGACUGACGCUCAGGUGCGAAAGCGUGGGGAGCAAAC
This 707-nucleotide ribosomal RNA is filed under the name uncultured bacterium. Its description in RNAcentral is "bacterial SSU rRNA". It matches the Rfam family "Bacterial small subunit ribosomal RNA", at positions 74 to 773 of the family's 1533-position model. The record is from RNAcentral.